GACGAAGGUGGCAAGCGUUAUUCGGAUUUACUGGGCAUAAAGCGCGCGUAGGCGGCUUGGCAAGUCGGGGGUGAAAGCCCGCAGCUCAACUGCGGAACUGCCUUCGAUACUGCCGGGCUUGAGGGCGGGAGGGGUGAUUGGAACUCCAGGUGUAGCGGUGAAAUGCGUAGAUAUCUGGAGGAGCACCGGAGGCGAAGGCGAAUCACUGGACCGCUUCUGACGCUGAGGCGCGAAAGCUAGGGGAGCAAACAGG
RNAcentral lists this ribosomal RNA (253 nucleotides) under uncultured bacterium. RNAcentral describes it as "partial 16S ribosomal RNA". It matches the Rfam family "Bacterial small subunit ribosomal RNA", at positions 524 to 776 of the family's 1533-position model. The record is from RNAcentral.